UUAGUGCAUUCUAAAAUUCUAGCCGGAGGUAACCAUGUACCUUAGCCUUAUUCACUUGUUUAUUCUUAUCAUUGCCAUCCAAGCUCGGAUGCACCUUCAUUGGAUACUUCUUUGAGGAGCAACCAAUCUAGAAGGUUUGCCACUCAAUCAACCAAAAAUUUAUUAAAACAAACAAAAUUAAAAACAUAAAUAAUAAUAACUUCAAAAUGUAAAAUUGUUCAUGGGGGACAAAACACCCCAAAAGUACAAAGCCAAAAUCAAAAUACAGCAAUCCGAAAAUACAAUAGAAAUAAACAUAAAAAAUGAAAAAUACAAUAACUUAACCCUCCAAGGGCUCAGAACCUUCCUCACUACCGGCUUCAGAACCGGUAGC
RNAcentral lists this long non-coding RNA (373 nucleotides) under Lathyrus oleraceus (garden pea). RNAcentral describes it as "Pisum sativum (pea) long non-coding RNA (PSAT_LNC005043)". The record is from RNAcentral. Lineage: Eukaryota; Viridiplantae; Streptophyta; Magnoliopsida; Fabales; Fabaceae.